CCUGCCCAGAAGCGGGGGAUAACACCUGGAAACAGAUGCUAAUACCGCAUAACAACUUGGACCGCAUGGUCCGAGUUUGAAAGAUGGCUUCGGCUAUCACUUUUGGAUGGUCCCGCGGCGUAUUAGCUAGAUGGUGAGGUAACGGCUCACCAUGGCAAUGAUACGUAGCCGACCUGAGAGGGUAAUCGGCCACAUUGGGACUGAGACACGGCCCAAACUCCUACGGGAGGCAGCAGUAGGGAAUCUUCCACAAUGGACGAAAGUCUGAUGGAGCAACGCCGCGUGAGUGAAGAAGGGUUUCGGCUCGUAAAACUCUGUUGUUAAAGAAGAACAUAUCUGAGAGUAACUGUUCAGGUAUUGACGGUAUUUAACCAGAAAGCCACGGCUAACUACGUGCCAGCAGCCGCGGUAAUACGUAGGUGGCAAGCGUUGUCCGGAUUUAUUGGGCGUUAAAGCGAGCGCAGGUCGGUUUUUUAAGUCUGAUGUGAAAGCCUUCGGCUCAACCGGAAGAAAGUGCAUCGGAAA
RNAcentral lists this ribosomal RNA (525 nucleotides) under uncultured bacterium. Its description in RNAcentral is "bacterial SSU rRNA". It matches the Rfam family "Bacterial small subunit ribosomal RNA", at positions 125 to 632 of the family's 1533-position model. The record is from RNAcentral.